UACGUAGGGGGCAAGCGUUGUCCGGAUUUAUUGGGCGUAAAGAGCGUGUAGGCGGCUUGGUAGGUCCGCUGUGAAAACUCGAGGCUCAACCUCGAGAUGUCGGCGGAAACCACUUGGCUAGAGUCCGGAAGAGGAGAGUGGAAUUCCUGGUGUAGCGGUGAAAUGCGUAGAUAUCAGGAGGAACACCUGUGGCGAAAGCGGCUCACCGGACCACAACUGACGCUGAGGCGCGAAAGCUAGGGGAGCAAACAGG
This 253-nucleotide ribosomal RNA is filed under the name uncultured bacterium. RNAcentral describes it as "partial 16S ribosomal RNA". It matches the Rfam family "Bacterial small subunit ribosomal RNA", at positions 524 to 776 of the family's 1533-position model. The record is from RNAcentral.